RNAcentral lists this unclassified non-coding RNA (337 nucleotides) under soil metagenome. RNAcentral's name for it is "partial contains 5.8S ribosomal RNA, internal transcribed spacer 2, and large subunit ribosomal RNA". The stretch from base 1 to 120 matches the Rfam family "5.8S ribosomal RNA", at positions 35 to 154 of the family's 154-position model. The record is from RNAcentral.
GAUGAAGAACGUAGCGAAAUGCGAAAAGUAGUGUGAAUUGCAGAAUUCAGUGAAUCAUCGAAUCUUUGAACGCACAUUGCGCCCCUUGGUAUUCCAUGGGGCAUGCCUGUUCGAGCGUCAUUUGUACCUUCAAGCUCUGCUUGGUGUUGGGUGUUUGUCUCGCCUCUGCGUGUAGACUCGCCUCAAAAUAAUUGGCAGCCGGCGUAUUGAUUUCGGAGCGCAGUACAUCUCGCGCUUUGCACUCAUAACGACGACGUCCAAAAGUACAUUUUUACACUCUUGACCUCGGAUCAGGUAGGGAUACCCGCUGAACUUAAGCAUAUCAAUAAGCGGAGGA